AUUGACCUAACUUUAGACACGCAGAGCAUAGCUAAACACAGAUAUAGCGUCUCCCUUACACUGAGAAGGUAUCCGUGCAAACCGGAUUGCCCUGAAACAACUACCCCCAGAGAGUAGCAAAAUACGAGGAUAUUUCCUCGUACUACCCCUAAGAAUUCCAAGAAAAUAUCCGUGUAAUCCGGAUUACUCUCGAGCCCAAUAGCUAGCCCAACCACCUAACACGAAUUAAUCAACAUUAAUAACCCCUCACGCAGGAAUUGACAUAAAACAAACCAUUUUUCCCUCUUAGUAUGGGAGACAGAAAAG
Molecule: ribosomal RNA, 306 nt
Filed under: Thalassoma amblycephalum (blunt-headed wrasse)
Lineage: Eukaryota; Metazoa; Chordata; Actinopteri; Labriformes; Labridae
Description: partial 16S ribosomal RNA
Rfam family: tRNA (bases 22-95)
Source: RNAcentral